RNAcentral lists this long non-coding RNA (1040 nucleotides) under Marmota monax (woodchuck). Lineage: Eukaryota; Metazoa; Chordata; Mammalia; Rodentia; Sciuridae. The record is from RNAcentral.
CUCAAAGCUCUAAUUUCACGUGAAACCAAGAAAAAAAGGGGUGGGAGCAGGGCAGAACAAUCUAAUACUGACCCAUAAGCAUGCAGGCCUUUAACAGUUUACAGAGCUCUUGAAAAAUCUUAACUCAUCUUCCUAACAACUGAGCCAAAAACCUCACUAUCAGAUCCCAAUUUUAAAAAUAUAUUUUUUUAAUUUUUAGUUGUACAUGGACACAAACCUUUAUUUUAUUUAUUUAUUUAUAUUUUAUAGGAUGCCGAGGAUUGAACCCAGUGCCUCACAUGUGCUAGGCCAGUGCUCUACCACUGAACUACAAUCCUAGACCCUUGGAUCCCCAUUUUACAGAUGAGAAAACAGACUACGAAGGGAAGCAGCUGGUCCUAAGUCUCACAGCUUGCAAGUGAAUUUUAAAUCUAGUCUGCUAAUUCUAAAAUGAAAACUCUUUCUACAGUAGUAGAAAGGAAAGUCCCCUAAUCAUAGAGGAAAAAAAAAAACUAAGUACAAGAUGUGUUUUGUUUUUUCAAUAAGUGCAAUAGAAAUUUGGGGUACAACUCAUACAUUGCUGGUGGGAUUGCACAUUGGUGCAGUUAUUCUAUAAAGUCAUAUGGAGAUUCCUUAGAAAACUAUGAAUGGAACCACCAUUUGACCCAGCUAUCCCACUCCUUGGUCUAUACCCAAAGGUCUUAAAAACAGCAUACUACAGUGACACAGCCACAUCAAUGUUUAUAGUAGCUCAAUUCACAAUAACUAAACUGUGGAACCAACCUAGAUACCCUUCAGUAGAUGAAUGGAUAAAGAAAAUGUGGUAUAUAUACACAAUGGGAUAUUAGUCAGCAUUAAAAGAGAAUAAAAUCAUGGCAUUUGAAAGUAAAUGGAUGGAGUUGGAGAAUAUCAUGCUAAGCAGAAUUAACCAAUCCCCCAAAAAACAAAGUCCAAAUGUUUUCUCUGAUAUGAGGAUGCUGAUCCAUAAUGCGGGGUGGCUAGGGAAAAAUGGAGGAAAUUUGGAUUGGGCAGAGGGGAAUGGGGAGAGGGUAGUGGGUGUA